Molecule: signal recognition particle RNA, 298 nt
Filed under: Aotus nancymaae (Ma's night monkey)
Lineage: Eukaryota; Metazoa; Chordata; Mammalia; Primates; Aotidae
Description: Metazoan signal recognition particle RNA (ENSANAG00000004840.1)
Rfam family: Metazoan signal recognition particle RNA
About the family: The signal recognition particle (SRP) is a universally conserved ribonucleoprotein. It is involved in the co-translational targeting of proteins to membranes. The eukaryotic SRP consists of a 300-nucleotide 7S RNA and six proteins: SRPs 72, 68, 54, 19, 14, and 9.
Source: RNAcentral
ACCGGACGCGGUGGCGCAUGCCUGUAGUCCCAGCUACUCGGGAGGCUGAGGUGGGAGGAUCGCUGAGCCCAGGAAUUCCGGGCUGUGGUGCGCUACACCGAUCAGGUAUCCGCACUAAGUUCGGCAUCAAUAUGGUGACCUCCCGGGAGCAGGGGCCCACCCGUUUGCCUAAGGAGGGGUGAACUGGCCCAGGUCAGAAAUGGAGCAGGUCAAAACUCCCGUGCUGAUCAGUAGUGGGACUGUGCCUGUGAAUAGCCACUACACUCCAGCCUGGGCAACACAGCGAGACCCCGUCUCU